RNAcentral lists this long non-coding RNA (842 nucleotides) under Canis lupus familiaris (dog). RNAcentral describes it as "lncRNA (ENSCAFG00030007240.1)". Lineage: Eukaryota; Metazoa; Chordata; Mammalia; Carnivora; Canidae. The record is from RNAcentral.
CACUUCUUAGUCUCGUGGCUGGGGAGGGUCGGAGAGGGAGGUGGGGGCAUCAGCUGGGGAGCAGGGUUUUGCAUUGAGAGGCGGGGGUGAGCAGGGUAAAGGAACCUCUGCCCCCAAGGUGCCAAUAAAAUCCCCAUAAGAUUAGCUGGGAGCAUAUUUAUUGCUCAUCUAGGGUUAGAAUUACCUUGAUUGACAGCAAUUCCUUUAAUAACAAAAGCCUGUAAACAGGAUGUCCUACCAGGGCGCCCCCUGAGCUGCGCAGGCCGCGCGUCUUCUGUCCUUGGGUCCCCCUUGGGCUGCCCUAGCCUGGCACCCACCUUGCCACCUCCCGCCCUCCCCGCCCCCCCCGGGGAGAACGUCUGCUGUGCCAGAGGGUGGGACCCUGCUAUUUAGAGAUGCCUGUUGCAGGAAGUCUGGGAGCCAGAAGCGACAGGAAGGAGGGAUUCAAAGACGGACCCGAUUUCCCCUCCCACCGCACCCCGCUUGCUCGCAGGAGAGAGGUCGGACGGGGGCUCCCUCCUGUCUCCAUUCAGCCCCCCAGACGCGGACCAGAGGGCAGGCCGAUGCCAUCCUCACCCCCAGGCCCUGGCUAAAGGCAGGACUCUGUCAAAGUGCCUGUCCCCUCCCACCUUGGAGUCCUCUAAAAAUGGAGAAGAACCCCAACCUGAGAGAGCUCGGCCCCUUGGUCCCAGCCGCGCCUGGUGUCCGCGGGCCUGCUCCGGAGCCGGGGAGCCUGGAGCGGGAACGCCCGCAGCCUGUUGUCAUCUGUCAUCUGUUAUCCUCGGAGCCGCCUAGUGGCCUGCCCGGGACACUGCGCCUCCAGGCCGCCCCCGCCGCUGCCU